This 380-nucleotide ribosomal RNA is filed under the name uncultured bacterium. RNAcentral describes it as "bacterial SSU rRNA". It matches the Rfam family "Bacterial small subunit ribosomal RNA", at positions 97 to 478 of the family's 1533-position model. The record is from RNAcentral.
GGCGGACGGGUUAGUAACACGUGAGAACCUACCCUUUAGACAGGAAUAGCCCAUGGAAACGUGGAUUAAUGCCUGAUAGUCUCUACGGAGUAAAUGGUGCCUCCGGGUAUCGCUAGAGGAUGGGCUCGCGGCCUAUCAGCUUGUUGGUGAGGUAAAGGCUCACCAAGGCGACGACGGGUAGCUGGUCUGAGAGGACGAUCAGCAACACUGGAACUGAGACACGGUCCAGACACCUACGGGUGGCAGCAGUCGAGAAUCAUUCACAAUGGAGGCAACUCUGAUGGUGCAACGCCGCGUGGAGGAUGACGGUCCUAGGAUUGUAAACUCCUGUCAUUGGGGAGUAAGACUUAAGCGUUAAGAGCGUUUAAGUUUGAUAGUAC